Long non-coding RNA from Mercenaria mercenaria, 296 nucleotides. RefSeq lists it as uncharacterized. Lineage: Eukaryota; Metazoa; Mollusca; Bivalvia; Venerida; Veneridae. The record is from RefSeq and is a predicted model, not a curated record. The transcript has 3 exons.
AUAUGCAAAAACAUUUUUGAUUUGUGUUGUUUAAGGUAAUUCAAAGUAGCAAUACAUUGGUGCCUGAAACGUCACAGAUGCAGUUACGUGAAGUAACCUGUGACUUGCAACAUGACCAGAAGAAAAUAAUCAUGGAGCUGCGAAAGUCAAUCGAAGACAAGCUAUCCGGUGAAAUCGAGGCGUUUGUUACAGACACAAUAGCAAGAGAAAAUCAUAUCGACAAUCUUAAUCAGAUUGCACUUAUCAAAUACAUCGCGAAAUGUGUAAGUAUUUGUUGGGCUAUGUGUCGACUGGAA